ACUCAAAGGAAUUGACGGGGGCCCGCACAAGCGGUGGAGCAUGUGGUUUAAUUCGUCACUAACCGAAGAACCUUACCCAGGCUUGACAUCGCGUGUAAAGCCAUGAAAGUGGCUCCUCCCCGCAAGGGGACACAAAGACAGGUGUUGCAUGGCUGUCGUCAGCUCGUGUCGUGAGAUGUUGGGUUAAGUCCCGCAACGAGCGCAACCCUCACCGUAUGUUGCCAGCGUAAAGUCGGGAACUCUUACGGAACUGCCCGUGCAAGCGGGAGGAAGGUGGGGAUGACGUCAAGUCGGCAUGGCCCUUACGCCUGGGGCUACACACAUGCUACAAUGGACGCAACAGAGGGAUCCGAGACCGCGAGGUGGAGGCAAUCUCACAAAUACGUCCUCAGUUCGGAUAGCAGGCUGCAACUCGCCUGCUUGAAGCUGGAAUCGCUAGUAACCGCAGGUCAGCUAAACUGCGGUGAAUACGUUCCCGGGCCUUGUACACACCGCCCGU
Molecule: ribosomal RNA, 499 nt
Filed under: uncultured bacterium
Lineage: Bacteria
Description: partial 16S ribosomal RNA
Rfam family: Bacterial small subunit ribosomal RNA
Source: RNAcentral